Molecule: ribosomal RNA, 432 nt
Filed under: uncultured archaeon
Lineage: Archaea
Description: bacterial SSU rRNA
Rfam family: Archaeal small subunit ribosomal RNA
Source: RNAcentral
UACCUGCAGCUCAAGUGGUGAUCGUUAUUAUUGGGCCUAAAACGUCCGUAGCCGGUCUUGUAAAUGCCUGGGUAAAUCGUAUGGCUUAACUAUACGAAUUCCGGGUAGACUGUUAGACUUGAGACCGGGAGAAGCUAGAGGUACUCCUGGGGUAGAGGUGAAAUUCUGUAAUCCUAGGGGGACCACCAGUGGCGAAGGCGUCUAGCUAGAACGGGUCUGACGGUGAGGGACGAAGCCCUGGGGCGCAAACGGGAUUAGAUACCCCGGUAGUCCAGGGUGUAAACGCUGCUUGCUUGAUGUUAGUCUGGCUCCGAGCCAGAUUAGUGUCGGAGAGAAGUUGUUAAGCAAAGCUGCCUGGGAAGUACGGCCGCAAGACUGAAAACUUAAAGGAAUUGGCGGGGGAGCACAGCAACGGGUGGAGCGUGCGGUUUA